Molecule: long non-coding RNA, 249 nt
Filed under: Sinocyclocheilus anshuiensis
Lineage: Eukaryota; Metazoa; Chordata; Actinopteri; Cypriniformes; Cyprinidae
Description: lncRNA (ENSSANG00000023947.1)
Source: RNAcentral
UAUAUGUUGUUGCACAGCACCAGCCUUCAUUAUUUUGUUCAUAGCAAUGACGCUUGUUCAUAACUGACCCUUUUUAAUGGCAAGCCGCUCACCAUGAUUUUCCUGAGUAUGGUAUGAAAUGAUCCAACGGUAUGAAACUCGUCCAGAUGCUCCAGGGCAGCAAUAUUGAGAAGCCCUACCCAGAGACACUGUAGCUCUCCCCAAACAUAGCUGAAGAGCCAUGUGGUAUCCAGAUUCCACUAAGACCAU